Phalacrocorax carbo (great cormorant) is the source of this 6166-nucleotide non-coding RNA. The record is from RefSeq and is a predicted model, not a curated record. NCBI's taxonomy places the organism in Eukaryota, Metazoa, Chordata, Aves, Suliformes, Phalacrocoracidae.
CCCCCCCCCCUCCCCUUGCCCACCACCCCCCCCAGCCGCAAGCCGCCGAAGAGGUGCCCCGGUACCGCAGCCUUAUCGCUACCGCGCUUAAAUGCAAACAGCGUGCAAGUUCCGCGCCCCGCGCGUCGCCCCGCUGCCCCACGGAGGCGUUGGGUGGCAUCGCCCGGCUUCAUUUCCCAGGCCCCACGCGCGACGGAGGGCAGCGGGGAGCGGGCCAAAGCGACCCGACCGCAACCAGGGCGCCGCGCACGCCGCCUCGCCCGCCCUGCCCGGGUCCCGCACGGCUGCGGCGAAGGCGCCUCCGUUACGCUUCCGCGCUCGUUUUUGCGCUACUGGGGAAACAAAGCCAGGCAUGGAUCGAUCGAGUCCAGUAUCGUGUCUCUGGCCGCGACCGAUACGGCUACUGAAGCAAAGGAAGACCUGGCCGGUUGCGCACUGCUCUGCAAGACUGAAAAGUUUCUUUCCGGAUGAGUGUGGCACAUUGAGAGCAAUAGCAGAAGCAGGAAAAUGCAAAACAAACGUUGCUGAAAGAACAACCAGUGUCUGUAUUGAAUGGCUCCAUCUCCCUGUGCCCCUGCAGUGCAUCCAUAGCAUGACCCAUGGAGCUGUGAGCACUGAAGACCCAGAAUAACCCCCUCUGGGGGGGGAGGGGGAGCUAACACCCCCUCCCAAAUUGACAUUAAACCUGCCCGAACUGCCGUAAGGCUGCCUUUCUGAGCCAAACAGGGCAUUUGUGACCGUGAGGGGCCCGACCAUGAGGACCAUAUGCCGGUACGCAUGGCCAGCACCAGGAAAUGCUGGCCGAAGGACCCUGCGCUGCCCUUGAACUGGCUGCAUCCUGGCACAGCUUAAUAUAGGUGGGAAAAAACACCACCAGGCUGGCCAGCAGGUCUGGGGAUUGCCCACUGCAGCCUCUGAUGCACGUGGCAGUGGUGAGGCUGCUGCCUUCGCCGGCCUCAGCUGGGGCAAGAGCCCUGCGGUGUGAACCCACGUAUUUAAACCGGUAUUUACCAUCAGAAAAUAAUCUCUCUCUUCUCUCCAUCUCAGUUCCAGUUAUGAGCAGCACAUUAUUCACAAGCACCUGGAAAGGAAACACCAAUAUUCAGGCAAUUUUGGACUUCCCAAAUGCAAUCCCUUCCCUGCCCCCACGCUUAAUUUGCCAAGGUUUAGUGGCUGUAAAAGUAAAGCUACUGUGUUUUCCUGCCAUGGUAUUUUACUCCUACCCUCGCUGCUUCGUAAGGAAUAUCCCUGCACUGAAGAAGUCAAUUUGACUAAAAUUUUUGAGAUCCAGCUCCAACAGCCACACGAAAACAUGGAGAGAAAAAUCUCACUUUUUUUUUUAAUAAAUAAGAAGCGGGUUUUUUUUCUCAACUGGGGCUGCAGAGGGUAGUGUGGUGGGGAUACCACGCCUACAUCGCCUUAGACAUGCUCUUGGGAGGCCAGGGAAGAAGCAUUGGUGGUGGGAGGAGGAUGCGCUGCAGCAGGAUGAAGGUGGCUGUGUGGAGCACAAGCACUCAGUGAUGGCUGCCAGCCCUCAGCUUUUGCCCGUGGGGUCCUGGAGUUUUUUAUCCCCGUGGCAUGACUGCACGCGCCGCUGCCGCAUCCCACUAAUAAUGGUUACAGGGCAGCUCCGCGCCGAGGGCUGCUCCCCUCCCGCCUUCAGAGCACAAAACUAAUAGGAGAUUUAAAUGCAUGAAAUUGUGCCUGAGGAACUGGCCGGACCAGGCAAACCCUGAUGUAAAAUAAUGCCACAGCAUCCUCCUGAAAGAGGCUGUGACCUCAAAUGUCUCCCCAAAUUAUGUAUAAAAUGCAUAUAAUGCUUCCAUCUGGAAGCAACCAGCACAUUCAAUACACAAAGAAGCUAAAAAAAAAAAACAAACACAAAAAAAAACCCCCAAACACCACAACAAAAAAAAAAACCCCAAACCCACCCAAACAAAAAACCAGCAAUACAGGAAGCCUUAAAACAUAACUAUAAAAAACAUGAUUGAUAUCAUAUGUUGAUUAAUUAUCACCUUGUUUUGGGGGAGGAAAACCGUAGUUUGUUUUUGUUUCACCUUGAUUUCCACUUUCCAGCCCAAGGGGCCGGAGACACACAACCAAAUUUGCCCGAUUCUGCAUUUUUUCAGUCUGAAAUCACCAAAGACCCCUGGGGUCUCUACAGAAGAGGCAUCUCUGUAGCACUUCGUCAGGAUUAUGUUGACCGGUCCCUUCUCUCCAGUUCUAUAGGAGCUUUUCACAGCCCCAGCCAAUGUCAUGAAACUCCUGCGGCUCCCUUGAAUCUCAGCCCAGAUCUGUCCAAAACUUGGAUCAGGGUCAUAAACCUCAGACAAGUUUUACGCUGAUGAUGAAUUAAGGUACAAAGUGAAUAUUUUCUACUCCUGGAAUUUGUUAUUAAAAGUCCUGAGUUUCUGAAGUGGACAGAUAGUUCCUGAGUAAUUAAUUACCUUCCCCAUCUCCUCUUGAUGCCGUAAGCCAUCCAUUAAUGGAUCCCAAUCAUCCAAAAGGCACUUAGUACCUGACUAUUUUUCUCGAAAUUUUGGGGGUGGUGGUAUUUUAUUGAUUUAUUUUUACAAGAACUGCUUGCCUUGUACCUCCCUUGGAAGCUGCUUGUUCCAGAUACUUGACAUUUGGAGGUCAGGAUGGAUACAGGUCUUGUGAUCUCUUCUCAUCCCUCACAGAAAAAUGCACAACAAAUUAAAAUGACGUUGCAUUUUGAAUCCAUCACUGGAAAUAAAUCCCAUAUUUUCUGGGGAAAAACAAAAACAAAAAAAUCAGCCUUUUAAACCUUGCAGGGAAGAAGCAAUUCUAAAUUUCUGAUUUAUUUCUUUCAGGACCCUUUUCAACCAGCUCUGGUUUGGAGCACAUCAAGAAAAACCCGGCCAUUUUGGAGCUGAGCAAAACACUGCACAGCAGCGCCCUUAAAAUCCAAAAACAAGCCCCUGCCAAAGUUCACAAGCAACAUUUGGAUCCAAUAAAGUUACAGGUGCUAAGUAUGGUGGUGGUUAAGAAACUCUGCCUGUCUGAACCAGAGGUGCCCAGGUGAGAGCGUGCCAGCUCACAGGGCACAGAAAGCCUCCCCAUACUUAAAUUCAGCCAUGUACAGAAGCAUCAUUUAAUAUUUUGUCAUCAUUUUCUCAUACUCCAAUGCUGUGGUCACAACCGUCUGCUAUGAAAAAGCAGCCCUGGCAGAUGUAUGAUUUUUUGGCUGCUGUACACAACAAAGACCAUCCAAGAAAACUGAAAACUGAUGAAGAGAGAGCCAAGAGGACAGAAAAAAAAAUGGGUUUGAGCUAAACUAUGGAUUUAAGGAGCUUUGUUUUCCCCAUGCAGACUCCUAAUGGUACACUCAGGUGGACGAUGACAAUUUAUACCGAGGACCUGUCUCUUAGUGCCAAUAUCACAAUAAAACUUCACUUUUCUCCUGCCCAUUCUUAGUCUUGACUAUUUGUGCUGCAAGUUUUUUGAGGCAGAAGAUUCUGAUUUCUGGACCCGUUUAGUGCUGUGGGAUCACAAACGCAGCAUGAGCUUCCAGGCAAUACUGCAAGGCAAGUAAUAAAAUAUUUAUCCUCCACUACCUUCUGUGCUCGUAUGUUCUGCAAAGGAAGCAUCAAAACUAGAGCCACCAAUUUACAGCUGGAGUCUUCAAACAGAAACAGAACUGGGCUUUUACAGCCACAUCUCUCUAAAACAAAUGUUUUCACGCCCUGACCCCUUGCAAAACAUUCUCAUUUCUCAAAUAAUAAUAAUAAAAAAGUAAAAUUUCCAGCUGAAAAGAUAAUUAUUAUAGAUGCAAACAAAGCUUACGCAGCUUAGAAGAUAGGAUGGCCUUUGCAUGAUGACAUUAACCGAGCUGCAACCUAUGGGACAUAUGAUGCUCAGAGCUGGGUCCCAAACCCACCUUCAGGGAACCUGAAUAUUCAUGAAAGCUGCAGCACCUGGAGUCACAGCCUGGCUCCCGGGGGGGGGGGAGCGAAAGCAGCACGUUGCCACUCACUGUGGCAAUCUCCACCUGCAUUUCUUCCUUUCAACCACUAAAUGUGAAGCUGAUAAAUUCCUACCCUUAAUUUCACCCAUUUUUUAGACACCCUUAUCUUUGGCAAUGCAACUGCUCUUUCUUUCUCGCUGGCAAAGUCUCCUUGAUGUGCAAAUCCCUGCAUGCCUGAACUCAUCGAGUCUCCAAUACUAGCGACUCUGGGGAUACGGUGCUAAAACAAGUCUUCACUCCACUCUUACCAUGCCAGAGCUAAUGCACCGGGAAAGAUCAGCACGUGCUGCUUUUCAAACAUUAAACAGGAAAGCUGCUAUAGUCAUAACCUGUAACGGCAGCAAGGAAACCAGCCCUACGCAAUGCAUUCCUCCCUUGCAGAUAUAAGGGGAGGAAAGGACCAAGAGUCCACACUUACCAAGUGGUAGAGAGAGCUGGAUCCUGCUGUGCUGUGGAGGAGGUGGGAGAGUUUUUCCAGCAGCAGCAGUGCAGCCUGAAGAUCAGAAAUCCCCAGAAUGAUGUACUCUGCAGAGCAUCUCCUCUGCUGCCAUGUCCUUAUAGCAGCUAUUGCCAUCAGGUGCUGAUGCCAGCCCUGCUACUGCCUUUAUCCAGAAAGACUGAGUCAUGACCCAUCCCUGCACCCCAGAGUCCUCUGGAUGUCUUCUCUGAGGCCCUGCACAGCACGGUGCUUCCCUCCAGCAGCUGGUGGGGGCUUCACCAGUGGGCAAACACAACCAAAAUUGUUCCAGAGAACACAGGGAUGCAAAGGACUGCUGGAGCUAAAGAAGGGGCAGGACCAGUGGUGGCAAGGGAAGAAAAGAGCGGCUGCAGACUUGGUCGGCUCAAAGCAAAGCUGUGGGGCACUUUCCCAAUACUGCUAGCCCAAGGGAGAAGCUGCUUGUAUUUCUGGCUCAUCACAUCCCAGUUUUGGGGAAGAGCAGGGACUGCAGUGUCAGAGAGGAAAAUGUUCCGCACCACCAAGUCAUCCGGCUUCAGCCAGCACAGCUCCCAGGCAAGGUACAUGACCAAGGGACCUUCCCCAUCUUCCCUCUCAGAUCUCCUGAUUGCUGCCUUAUUAAUAAGUUGUUUAGGAGCUAAACUAAGUUGUUUAGGAGCUAACAAAAAAAAGUUAACCCAGGAAUUCCUGCCCAUUAAUCACUUCACGUCAUGCUCUGGGGUUUUCUUUUGUCCAAGCUACAGAGAAGCAUGGGGCUGGGCAAUGCCCACCUUAGGAUGUAAGGCACCCCGCAAUGUUUUGAUGCAACAGGACUUUAUGAAACACAAGAUUUUACAGUAAUGGCAUUAUGAUUGUGUGUCAAACUGUAACAGGGCAUAACACAGGACCAUGUGGCUUCCCACCAGGGGGUCAGCACCAAGGAGUGUUUGGAGCCUGCACAACAGCAGUAGCUGCCAAGGUCAAGGACGGUACGAGCACAGGAAUGGCUCUCUGGAGCUGCUGGUCCCAGGGGACCCCAGGGAAGCUUCAGCAUGGACCCACAUCCCCACAACAGAUCCAGACUCUUUAGAAACCAAAGGCAAUGGAAGGAAGGAACCCUGGAAGGAGCGUUACCCACACAGAACGACUGACCUGAGGCGGCUCAGAGCUGGCCCCACAAGCAUAACUUCCCUCUUAGCUCUAUUGAGAUACUGAAAGUUAAAAAAACCUUUGUAACCUGUGACCUUGAAAAAUGAAUAUGCUUUCUGCAGUGCGCCAGGAUCACUCUCUUCUUCAUCUCAGCAGAAAGCUUCCUUUGCUUCCCACUGUAAAAAAAAAACUGGAAGAGCCAAAGCUGCAGCUGGCCAGACCAGGAGAUAGGAUGGAGGGUCCCCCAAGGCUGGUAACACCAGCGUGCCAAGUGCUGGCAAGCUGAAUGACCCCAGCGCUCAAAGGCAUCGAGUGUGCCCACAGCAAGUAUGGAGAGGAGUUUCUGGUAUCUCAAAUUUUUAGUGCACAGAAGGAGAAAUAAACAAUCUAAAUGCUGAAAUGCUCCGAGAUGAAAGUCAGUGAUUUCCCCCUCCUUUUAGCAUCGGAACUGAUUUGUGGUGCUGGGGCUUGCCUCAACCCAGAGCCCUCCCUAGCAGCUCCCCGGGUCUCUGUCAGGACCGCUGCCUGCAGUCAGGACAGCACUCAGUGGAGGGUUUUUUCCCCGGGGGGCAGAAGCAAUGGUGACAGGGGCA